RNAcentral lists this ribosomal RNA (534 nucleotides) under Triticum aestivum (bread wheat). RNAcentral's name for it is "partial small subunit ribosomal RNA". The record is from RNAcentral. Lineage: Eukaryota; Viridiplantae; Streptophyta; Magnoliopsida; Poales; Poaceae.
GAGAAUUUCCUCGAGGAUGCGGACGAGUGGUACGAUCCAGUGGCUGACCUCGCAUCCCCGGGCGACGUGGACGCUCCGCGCCAGGUUCCGCCGGGAAAGCCCGGCCCUCAACGACGCCCGCUGCGGAGACCUCCGCCCGGGCGACCAGCUCUGCCUCGCCUGCGAUAUCUACGGCGACGCCGACGAGCUCAAGUACUACACGCUGUCCUUGAGACAGUGGAGAAGGCAGCGCACGGCACCGUGGAUGGCGUGGAGCGGUGCGCAUGCCGUUUCACCGUGCGCUGGACGGAGGGGCCGCGCUGCCGUUGCCAGGACAAGGUGGGCGUCGAGGUGGUCUGCUUCGUGCAGGAGUCACCGAUCCAAGAUCCGGUGUUGACCGAGUUCCUGGAUGGUGUGAGAAACAGGUUCGGCGAGGACCAAGGGGGGGCGACGGUAGCGUCUCAACAGGCAGUCCCGACCCGGACACCAUCAGGCAGCCGACGAAUACUUUUUUCCUUGAAGACGGCAUCAGAACAUUUGACCGGAAGAUCGUGA